This 301-nucleotide ribosomal RNA is filed under the name uncultured bacterium. Its description in RNAcentral is "partial 16S ribosomal RNA". It matches the Rfam family "Bacterial small subunit ribosomal RNA", at positions 509 to 807 of the family's 1533-position model. The record is from RNAcentral.
CAGUAGCCGCGGGAAUACGGAGGGUGCAAGCGUUAAUCGGAAUUACUGGGCGUAAAGCGUGCGUAGGUGGUGGUUUAAGUCCGUUGUGAAAGCCCUGGGCUCAACCUGGGAAUUGCAGUGGAUACUGGGUCACUAGAGUGUGGUAGAGGAUAGUGGAAUUUCCGGUGUAGCAGUGAAAUGCGUAGAGAUCGGAAGGAACAUCUGUGGCGAAGGCGACUAUCUGGGCCAACACUGACACUGAGGCACGAAAGCGUGGGGAGCAAACAGGAUUAGAUACCCGCGUAGUCCCUGUCUCUUAUAC